This 459-nucleotide ribosomal RNA is filed under the name uncultured bacterium. RNAcentral describes it as "partial 16S ribosomal RNA". It matches the Rfam family "Bacterial small subunit ribosomal RNA", at positions 338 to 795 of the family's 1533-position model. The record is from RNAcentral.
CCUACGGGUGGCUGCAGUGAGGAAUAUUGGUCAAUGGGCGUAAGCCUGAACCAGCCAAGUCGCGUGAGGGAUGAAGGUUCUAUGGAUCGUAAACCUCUUUUAUAAGGGAAUAAAGUGCGGGACGUGUCCCGUUUUGUAUGUACCUUAUGAAUAAGGAUCGGCUAACUCCGUGCCAGCAGCCGCGGUAAUACGGAGGAUCCGAGCGUUAUCCGGAUUUAUUGGGUUUAAAGGGUGCGCAGGCGGAAUGUCAAGUCAGCGGUAAAAUUUCGGGGCUCAACCCCGUCGUGCCGUUGAAACUGGCGUUGUUGAGUGAGCGAGAAGUAUGCGGAAUGCGGGGUGUAGCGGUGAAAUGCAUAGAUAUCACGCAGAACUCCGAUUGCGAAGGCAGCAUACCGGCGCUCAACUGACGCUCAUGCACGAAAGCGUGGGUAUCGAACAGGAUUAGAUACCCUAGUAGUC